RNAcentral lists this transfer RNA (87 nucleotides) under Anaerolineae bacterium. Its description in RNAcentral is "tRNA-Ser". It matches the Rfam family "tRNA". Rfam says of the family: Transfer RNA (tRNA) molecules are approximately 80 nucleotides in length. Their secondary structure includes four short double-helical elements and three loops (D, anti-codon, and T loops). Lineage: Bacteria; Bacillati; Chloroflexota; Anaerolineae. RNAcentral also lists the same sequence under 1 other name. The record is from RNAcentral.
GGGAAGGUGCCAGAGUGGACGAUUGGGGCUGCCUGCUAAGCAGUUACACCCGUAAGGGUGUCGCAGGUUCGAAUCCUGUCCUUCCCG